RNAcentral lists this ribosomal RNA (232 nucleotides) under uncultured bacterium. RNAcentral describes it as "partial 16S ribosomal RNA". It matches the Rfam family "Bacterial small subunit ribosomal RNA", at positions 118 to 347 of the family's 1533-position model. The record is from RNAcentral.
UGAGCAAUCUGCCCUUCUCAUCGGAAUAAGCGUUGAAAACGACGUCUAAUGCCGAAUACGACCUCCUUUCGCAUGAUCGGAGGUGGAAAGCUCCGGCGGAGAAGGAUGAGCUCGCGGCCUAUCAGCUAGUUGGUGUGGGUAAUGGCCCACCAAGGCGACGACGGGUAGCCGGCCUGAGAGGGUGACCGGCCACACUGGGACUGAGACACGGCCCAGACUCCUACGGGAGCAG